Molecule: ribosomal RNA, 445 nt
Filed under: uncultured bacterium
Lineage: Bacteria
Description: partial 16S ribosomal RNA
Rfam family: Bacterial small subunit ribosomal RNA
Source: RNAcentral
GUGAGGAAUAUUGGUCAAUGGACGGAAGUCUGAACCAGCCAUGCCGCGUGAAGGAUGAAGGCGUUCUGCGUUGUAAACUUCUUUUAUCAGAGAAGAAACCACUGAUUUCUAUUAGUGUUGACGGUAUCUGAUGAAUAAGCACCGGCUAACUCCGUGCCAGCAGCCGCGGUAAUACGGAGGGUGCAAGCGUUAUCCGGAUUUACUGGGUUUAAAGGGUGUGUAGGCGGGCUAUUAAGUCAGGGGUGAAAUCCCGGGGCUCAACCUCGGAACUGCCUUUGAUACUAUUAGUCUUGAAUUAUGUUGAGGUUGGCGGAAUAUAACAUGUAGCGGUGAAAUGCAUAGAUAUGUUAUAGAACACCGAUUGCGAAGGCAGCUGGCUAAACAUAUAUUGACGCUGAGGCACGAAAGCGUGGGUAGCGAACAGGAUUAGAAACCCGAGUAGUCC